GACGAACGCUGGCGGCGUGCCUAACACACGCAAGUCGAGCGGAGGUAGACAAGGAGUAAUCUGAGUUUACCUUAGCGGCGGACGCGUGAGUAACGCGUGAGCAACCUGCCUUUCACAGGGGGAUAAGGCGGCGAAAGCCGCUCUAAUACCGCAUGAGACCACGGUGAUGAUAUUACAGGGGUCAAAGGAGCAAUCCGGUGAAAGAUGGGCUCGCGUCCGAUUAGGUAGUUGGUGGGGUAGAGGCUCACCAAGCCAAUGAUCGGUAGCCGGCCUGAGAGGGUGAACGGCCACAUUGGAACUGAGAGACGGUCCAAACUCCUACGGGAGGCAGCAGUGGGGAAUAUUGGGCAAUGGGCGAAAGCCUGACCCAGCAACGCCGCGUGAAGGAAGAAGGUUUUCGGAUUGUAAACUUCUGUUCUUGGGGAAGAGAAGAAGACGGUACCCAAGGAGGAAGCCCCGGCUAACUACGUGCCAGCAGCCGCGGUAAUACGUAGGGGGCAAGCGUUGUCCGGAAUGAUUGGGCGUAAAGGGCGCGUAGGCGGUUGCUCAAGUCCGUAGUGGAAGUCCAGCUUUCAAGGUUGGAGGUGCUAUGGAAACUGAGCAACUUGAGUGCAGGAGAGGUUAUCGGAAUUCCCGGUGUAGCGGUGAAAUGCGUAGAGAUCGGGAGGAACACCAGUGGCGAAGCGGGUAACUGGACUGCAACUGACGCUGAGGCGCGAAGGUGUGGGGAGCAAACAGGAUUAGAUACCCUGGUAGUCCACACGGUAAACGAUGAAUGCUAGGUGUAGGGGGUAUCGACCCCUUUCUGUGCCGCAGUUAACACAAUAAGCAUUCCGCCUGGGGAGUACGGUCGCAAGAUUAAAACUCAAAGGAAUUGACGGGGGCCCGCACAAGCAGCGGAGCAUGUGGUUUAAUUCGAAGCAACGCGAAGAACCUUACUAGGUCUUGACAUCCAGUAAAGCCUGUAGAGAUACAGAGUCCCUUCGGGGGUACUGAGACAGGUGGUGCAUGGUUGUCGUCAGCUCGUGUCGUGAGAUGUUGAGUUAAGUCCCGCAACGAGCGCAACCCUUGCCGAUAGUUACUAACAAGUUGUGUUGAGGACUCUAUUGGGACCGCCGGGGACAACUCGGAGGAAGGUGGGGACGACGUCAAAUCAUCAUGCCCCUUAUGACCUGGGCUACACACGUGCUACAAUGGCUGGUACAAAGGGCUGCGAAACCGCGAGGUCGAGCGAAUCCCAAAAAGCCAGUCUCAGUUCGGAUUGAAGUCUGCAACUCGACUUCAUGAAGCUGGAGUCGCUAGUAAUCCCGGAUCAGCAACGCCGGGGUGAAUACGUUCCCGGGCCUUGUACACACCGCCCGUCACACCACGAAAGUUGGCAACACCCGAAGUCAGUGGCCGAACCCCUCGGGGACGGAGCUGCCGAAGGUGGGGUUAGCGAUUGGGGUG
RNAcentral lists this ribosomal RNA (1449 nucleotides) under uncultured bacterium. RNAcentral's name for it is "bacterial SSU rRNA". It matches the Rfam family "Bacterial small subunit ribosomal RNA". The record is from RNAcentral.